RNAcentral lists this ribosomal RNA (492 nucleotides) under uncultured bacterium. RNAcentral describes it as "partial 16S ribosomal RNA". It matches the Rfam family "Bacterial small subunit ribosomal RNA", at positions 28 to 507 of the family's 1533-position model. The record is from RNAcentral.
GAUGAACGCUAGCUACAGGCUUAACACAUGCAAGUCGAGGGGAAACGGCAUCGAAAGCUUGCUUUUGAUGGGCGUCGACCGGCGCACGGGUGAGUAACGCGUAUUCAACCUGCCCAUCACUUGGGAAUAACCUUGCGAAAGUAAGACUAAUGCCCAAUGACAUCCCACGAAGGCAUCCGAAUGGGAUUAAAGAUUUAUCGGUGAUGGAUGGGGAUGCGUCUGAUUAGCUUGUUGGCGGGGUGACGGCCCACCAAGGCAACGAUCAGUAGGGGUUCUGAGAGGAAGGUCCCCCACAUUGGAACUGAGACACGGUCCAAACUCCUACGGGAGGCAGCAGUGAGGAAUAUUGGUCAAUGGGCGAGAGCCUGAACCAGCCAAGUAGCGUGCAGGAUGACGGCCCUAUGGGUUGUAAACUGCUUUUAUAAGGGAAUAAAGUGGGUCACGUGUGACUUUUUGCAUGUACCUUAUGAAUAAGGACCGGCUAAUUCCGUG